UGGCGAACGGGUGAGUAACACGUGGGUAAUCUGCCCUGCACUCUGGGAUAGGCCUGGGAAACUGGGUCUAAUACUGGAUAUGACCUUUCUCCUUAUGGUGGUUUGGUGGAAAGUUUUUCGGUGUAGGAUGAGCCCGCGGCCUACCAGCUUGUUGGUGGGGUGAUUGCCUACCAAGGCGACGACGGGUAGCCGGCCUGAGAGGGUGAUCGGCCACAUUGGGACUGAGAUACGGCCCAG
This 237-nucleotide ribosomal RNA is filed under the name uncultured Actinomycetales bacterium. RNAcentral's name for it is "partial 16S ribosomal RNA". It matches the Rfam family "Bacterial small subunit ribosomal RNA", at positions 96 to 334 of the family's 1533-position model. Lineage: Bacteria; Bacillati; Actinomycetota; Actinomycetes; Actinomycetales. The record is from RNAcentral.